This 146-nucleotide ribosomal RNA is filed under the name fungal endophyte sp. AP113. RNAcentral's name for it is "5.8S ribosomal RNA". It matches the Rfam family "5.8S ribosomal RNA". From Rfam's summary of the family: 5.8S ribosomal RNA (5.8S rRNA) is a component of the large subunit of the eukaryotic ribosome. The record is from RNAcentral. Lineage: Eukaryota; Fungi.
AACUUUCAACAAUGGAUCUUUGGCUCUGGCAUCGAUGAAGAACGCAGCGAAAUGCGAUAAGUAGUUGAAUGCAGAAUUCAGUGAAUCAUCGAAUCUUGAACGCACAUGCGCCCUGGUAUUCAUGGGGCAUGCUGUCGAGCGUCACU